Molecule: RNA transcript, 1672 nt
Organism: Peromyscus eremicus (cactus mouse)
Lineage: Eukaryota; Metazoa; Chordata; Mammalia; Rodentia; Cricetidae
Gene name: protein SAAL1-like
Exons: 6
Source: RefSeq, a predicted model, not a curated record
ACCCGUUCUGCAGGAAUCUGACGGCAGGGGGCGCUGUGCGGAGCCGCGCUGGGUGCGUCGGGCUCUCUGGCACGUCCUCUCGCCUCCUCCGGGCUUCCGGCGUGGCUCCCGCGCGCCAGCAUGGACCUUAACCCGUCGCCUCCGCCGCCUAGCUGCGAUCAGGAGGACGAGGAGGACCCGGCCGGGGGAGACUGCAUUGGGAGCACGGUCUACAGCAAGCACUGGCUCUUCGGCGUCCUCAGCGGGCUCAUCCAGAUUGUCACACUUGAAAGUGACAAGUCCGACUCAGAUGAUGAUGAGCAGCAGAUGGAGCUUGCUGAAGAAAUGGAGAAUGAAAUUUUCAGAGUCGGGGAUAUGUCCAUGGAUGAGGAUGUGGCUUUAUUUCUCCAAGAAUUUAAGGCUCCUGACAUAUUCAUGGGAGUGCUGGCCAAAUCCAGGUGCCCCCGAUUAAGAUUUCUGGCCUGGAUAUCUGACACUCUGUCUGGAGCUGGAGAGGAGGAGGGAGGCCUUCACCAACAUUAUGUAUCUGAAUGACAUAAGCCUGAUGGAAGGGGACAAUGGGUGGAUCCCUGAGACCUUGGAGGAAUGGAAGCUUCUCCUACAUCUACUACAGAACAAGAGCACAAGGCCAACUCCUCAGGAGUCACUGAAUGGGAGCCUCAGUGAUGGGCCUGCCCCCAUCAAUGUGGAGAAUGUGGCACUCUUGUUAGCUAAGGCCAUGGGCCCAGAUCGGGCUUGGUCACUGCUACAGGAAUGUGGUCUAGCCCUUGAGUUGUCGGCAAAGUUUACCAGAACCUGUGACAUCCUGAGGAUCGCUGAGAGAAGACAGAGGAAGUUUCACACUUAGAGCUGCCUUCCUCAAGGCACAACAUCCUCCUGUGUGGACCAGGUUGUGAAAUUGAAUCAGACAGAAGAUGAUGCUCUUGAAAGUCUCAGUGAGAAGUGAGCAGUCGAUGGCUAUAUGCGUUAAUUUGUGUUUUGAAGGUAAAUGUUGUGUAAAAGAAUUAGAUUGGGAUAUGAACUUGUAUUUUCAUUUUUCUCUAAGUUAAAGACAAACACUUGCUCCUACAAGGUACAGAUGUAGAGCAAUGUGUGUGUGUGUGUGUGUGUGUGUGUGUGUGUGUGUAUGUGUGUGUGUGUGUGUGUAUGAGUGUAUUCAAAACUCUCAAAUAUACUGUGUAAGUCUAUUGGUUCACAUUAACAACACCUCUAUUUCCACUCAACCAUCUAACUAUAAACACACACACACACACACACACACACACACACACACACACACAUCAAAUAGCUAGCAGAUAAUAAUAUAUAAUUUUUUUCCUCUGUAAGAUGUUAUUUUGGAUGCUGAAAACAUUGGUAGAAUUAAUGUCUGUGCUUUAUGAGGGGGGAGUAGCUGUAUUCUUCAUAUGAACACCCUUUUCCCUACCACAACUAAAUGUGUCUCACAAGAGUUAGUUUUUCCUUUAUAUAGUCACACAUUUAUUUACUAUGAUAGGAAACUAAUAGGAAAAUCUUAAAGAGGUGGUGACUUUACUUUUAGUUUACCAUUUGGGGAAUGUCAAUUUGAGGCAUGGUUCUGUGUUUGAGACACUACAUUAUGUGAUGCAUUGUGGCAGAGCUAUAUAGUAGGAUAAGCUACUCAUCUCAUGUCAGUCAGAAAGACAAGAGAGGAGAG